UAUUAUCAAACAGAAUCUUUGUAAAAUCUUUCUUCCUCAUUUUUUUCUUUUAACUAGGGUUUCUACUUUCCACUUUAUCUUUUCUUUCUUACCGUUAUCUUCUCUAAAAUUUCAGCACCUCCUACACCACUAUUGGUACUUCUACCUCUACCAUUAUCAAUUCUAGAAUCUUGGCUAUGACCACCACCAUCAAGACCGUCUUUACCACCACCAUUAAAUUCACCACUCCCGCCCC
This 235-nucleotide long non-coding RNA is filed under the name Elaeis guineensis (African oil palm). RNAcentral describes it as "long non-coding RNA (EGUI_LNC040589)". Lineage: Eukaryota; Viridiplantae; Streptophyta; Magnoliopsida; Arecales; Arecaceae. The record is from RNAcentral.